Molecule: ribosomal RNA, 621 nt
Filed under: uncultured bacterium
Lineage: Bacteria
Description: bacterial SSU rRNA
Rfam family: Bacterial small subunit ribosomal RNA
Source: RNAcentral
CCUACGGGAGGCAGCAGUAAGGAAUAUUGGGCAAUGGAGGCAACUCUGACCCAGCCAUGCCGCGUGAAGGAUGACUGCCCUAUGGGUUGUAAACUUCUUUUGUAUGGGAAUAAACCUCGGUACGUGUACCGAGCUGAAUGUACCAUAAGAAUAAGCAUCGGCUAACUCCGUGCCAGCAGCCGCGGUAAUACGGAGGAUGCAAGCGUUAUCCGGAUUUAUUGGGUUUAAAGGGUGCGUAGGCGGGAUUGUAAGUCAGUGGUGAAAUCCUUCAGCUCAACUGAAGAACUGCCAUUGAUACUGCAGACCUAGAGUACAUUUGAAGUGGGCGGAAUGUGUCAUGUAGCGGUGAAAUGCUUAGAGAUGACACAGAACACCAAUUGCGUAGGCAGCUCACUAAACUGUAACUGACGCUGAGGCACGAAAGCGUGGGGAUCAAACAGGAUUAGAUACCCUGGUAGUCCACGCCGUAAACUAUGAUCACUCGAUGUGNGAUACACUGUCNGCGUCUGAGNGAAGANAUAGUAGANCNCCGUGGAGGUACGGUCGCGAGACGUAGAACGUUACGAAGAAGUUAGGACGGCGNGGAGACGNGCCGACGGACGACGACGACGGGAGGUUAGG